This 497-nucleotide ribosomal RNA is filed under the name uncultured bacterium. RNAcentral describes it as "partial 16S ribosomal RNA". It matches the Rfam family "Bacterial small subunit ribosomal RNA", at positions 28 to 507 of the family's 1533-position model. The record is from RNAcentral.
GAUGAACGCUGGCGGUGUGCCUAAUACAUGCAAGUCGAGCGAACAGACGAGGAGCUUACUCCUCUGACGUUAGCGGCGGACGGGUGAGUAACACGUGGAUAACCUACCUAUAAGACUGGGAUAACUUCGGGAAACCGGAGCUAAUACCGGAUAACAUGUUGAACCGCAUGGUUCAACAGUGAAAGACGGUCUUGCUGUCACUUAUAGAUGGAUCCGCGUCGCAUUAGCUAGUUGGUAAGGUAACGGCUUACCAAGGCAACGAUGCGUAGCCGACCUGAGAGGGUGAUCGGCCACACUGGAACUGAGACACGGUCCAGACUCCUACGGGAGGCAGCAGUAGGGAAUCUUCCGCAAUGGGCGAAAGCCUGACGGAGCAACGCCGCGUGAGUGAAGAAGGUCUUCGGAUCGUAAAACUCUGUUAUUAGGGAAGAACAAAUGUGUAAGUAACUAUGCACGCCUUGACGGUACCUAAUCAGAAAGCCACGGCUAACUACGUG